Molecule: ribosomal RNA, 248 nt
Filed under: uncultured euryarchaeote
Lineage: Archaea; Methanobacteriati; Methanobacteriota
Description: partial 16S ribosomal RNA
Rfam family: Archaeal small subunit ribosomal RNA
Source: RNAcentral
AGCGCCACAAGUGGCAAUCACGAUUAUUGGGCCUAAAGCGUUCGUAGCCGGUUUGGCAAAUCUUUUGUGAAAGCGUCAGGCUUAACUUGACGAGUGGCAGAAGACACUACCGAACUAGGGACCGGGAGGAGUCAGAAGUAUUCAAAGGGGACCGGUAAAAUGGUAUAAUCCUUUGAGGACUACCGAUGGCGAAGGCAUCUGACCAGAACGGAUCCGACGGUGAGGAACGAAAGCUAGGGGAGCAAACC